GUAACAUCCGUGCCCACCUUCCUCUACUUCAUAUGUGGGACGCCUGCCACAGCAUGGCCUGCCAAGUGGUGCCAUGUCAGCACCCAGGAUCUGAACUGGCGAACCCCAGGCUGCCAAAGCGGAAUGUGCACACUUAAUCACUGCGCCACCAGGCCAGCCCCUCACUUCAUCUUUCUGAAUCCUGAUUUACUAGCUAUGAUCCUGGUGAUAAGGCUGUUGACUGAUGUUGACGAAGUUAACCAACCUGUAGUAAGGCACUCCGCUAGGACUUGUGGGAGCCAGAAUGAAAACCAGAUCUCAGGAACAUCGCGCACGUUUUGACCUCUCCGAGCUUCAGUUUCCUCCUUUGCAAAGUCGGAAUGAUAACAGCUACCUUGCAGGAUUGUGACAGACCUUCCCUUGAGAAUUAGAAAUGUUGGACAACACGUAAAACCAUCAGUGUGAAGACAGUGGGGAAUGGUGAAGCCUGAAAGGGCGUUGGGAAAUCACGAUUCCUCGAAGAAGUUGCCACUGGACAAAUUCAGGAAGCUCCUCGAGUCUUCUAGGCUCUGUCUGUCUCCCAGGUCCUCAAACUUACCAUGGACGUGAAGUCACCACUCCAUCAAAAAGCUCCACAGGCUGCUUCAGCCCCCCUCGAGGUGAGCGCUCAUCUCCAGCCUGGGCUCCAUCGCUCCUGGUGUAGUGUGAGCUGCUGCAGCUGUGACGCCAGGCCCAGCGCAUCCAUCAAGGAUCUGAUUUGUCUCACCAGCUCUGGAGUUGGAUGAAGCAUGUGCUGCAAGGUUUGGGAUUUUGUUUCCCCAGUGGGUCUGAAGAGGCCAGUUGAAAAAUUUGGAAAUGCAUGGAAGUUAAUGUCUUGUGGGGUAAAUUUCGAUCAAUGAAAGUUGUCGUUCAAUGGAGGGAGCUGUUAAAUAAAUUCCUCUCUCUUUCUCCCUCUACCGGACUGUUCAAAGGGUGUUUCUGUACAGUGAGCUGCGUCUCUUCAGGAAGCUGGCUGUCUGCAGUAAUAUGCCAGUUU
RNAcentral lists this long non-coding RNA (1015 nucleotides) under Equus asinus (donkey). RNAcentral describes it as "lncRNA (ENSEASG00005033495.1)". The record is from RNAcentral. Lineage: Eukaryota; Metazoa; Chordata; Mammalia; Perissodactyla; Equidae.